Molecule: long non-coding RNA, 1304 nt
Filed under: Homo sapiens (human)
Lineage: Eukaryota; Metazoa; Chordata; Mammalia; Primates; Hominidae
Description: HSALNT0310182
Source: RNAcentral
GUUCUACUGACUGAAGUGAUCCUAUCUUGUGACUCAUGCAUGGCACGUCUAUAAGUCAAGCUGGAAUCCUCUAAAAUAAGUCACAUGGGAAAAAAUUCUGAUCUUAUUCUAGACGAAGAAUGAAAAGCCAGGAAGCUACAUAACCCAAGAAACAACAGUCAGAUGCCAAUAACCAGGAACCACCUGCAGGACAAGCUAAGCCCAGAAAUGCUGCCUUCACCUGAACUUCUGCCUCAGUGCGAGACCUGACCUGAUUUCUUGCCUCUUUCUCAUACCAACAUUUCCAUCCAGUGGGGAGAAAUGUACCUUGCUGGGUGCAAAAAGUGCCAAUGCAAAAGAAAAUGCAAGACUGCGCAUACUUAACCCCUCCUGGAAGAACAAACUUUUUUCAAGGAAUCCCCACCCCUGUCUCCACCUACCUGCCCAAAAGUCCUUAAAAAUUUCCCUUUACUCUACUUCCAGGGAGAAGGUGCUUUGAGCAUGAGCUCCCGUUCUCCAUUACUUGAUCAAUGAAUGGAAUUUCUGCACUGUUUUGCCAAACCUGGUCUCCUUAUAUUAGUGUGAAAGGCACCAGGCACGGGGAAAAAAAAAAACCAUCAGGGUCAAGGGAGGCCCUUUGAGGGUCAGUUGAUAAGGGGACUACAUGAAUUUUUUUUUUUUUUUUUUUUUUUUUUAGACCGAGUCUAGUUCUGUCGCCCAGGCUGGAGUGCAGUGACGCGAUCUCGGCUCACUGCAGCUCCGCCUCCCGGGUUCACCCCAUUCUCCUGCCUCAGCCUCCCGAGUAGCUGGGACUACAGGCGCCCGCGACCAUGCCCGGCUAAUUUUUUGUGUUUUUAGUAGAGACGGGGUUUCACCAUGUUAGCCAGGAUGAUCUCGAUCUCCUACCUCAUGAUCCGCCCGCCUCGGCCUCCCAAAGUGCUGGGAUUACAGGCGUGAGUCACCGCACCUGGCAAGAUUUUUUCUUGUUUUUAAUUCACAUCAAGGCAUUCUAUUAAAUUUAGUAAUGUUUUCCAAGAGUUUUCUCAAUGCUCUUAUGCUCAGCUUCUCCGGAACUUUCAUACAAAAUGAAAAUAGUUUUGCUGAUUAUUGGUUGCAAUAAGCUAUAGGGAAGAGUACAGAUCUCUGGGCUGAAAAGGGAUAUCUUAGGGCCUGAAGUUGUGCCAUGGGAUUAGCAAACUGGAUGGAUAUCAUUUCUUAUUAGAUAUUUAUUAAAAAUGCCUGGGGCUCUUUUAAAAGCUACCAAGCACUCAAGCUCUGCUCACCCCAGACAAAUUAAAUCUGAGUCUCUGAAGGUGUUCCAGUAG